CGUGGACUUUGCCCAUUGCAUGGAUGAUUUAUGAUAACUCAACGGAUUGUAUGAUCAUUUUGUUAAUGGCUCAUCAAUCAAAUUUUUCUACCUUAUUAAUUUCUAAAAAUUACAUAAAUACACAACUUAUGUUUUCAAUAUUACAAAAAAUCCCAACUCCAUAAACAUAUUACAAAAAUCCCACAUAUACAUUGAAUGCUAUGUAUAUGUCGGCUAUGUUAUGUAUAUUAAUAGAGAGAGAGAGUAAAGUAAUUUAAAAAGUGGGAGAGAGUGUAAUUACUUUUAAAAGAUUGGUAUUAAGGUUAUUUAUACUAAUUUCUAAGAAUUUGAUGGUAGGAUAGUGGACCAUCAUUAUGUGUCAUUGAGAAUUAGAAUUCGAUUCUGGAGUGAAAACAUGAGAAACACCUUCCACAUUUAAGAAAAGCAACAAGAAAACAAAUUACUCAAUCCUAAAGCUGGGAGGUAGUGAUAAUAAAUAAUAAUAUCGGGCUUUAUGAGUCUGGUAAUUUCAAAUUAGUAUAAUCUAAAUCGUUAAUUCCUUGACGGAGAUCUAUUGGAGGAUAAGUUUAAUGCCAGCAAUCAUAGUAAUUCCAACUCAUGAGCAUAUAUUUAAGUUGUUGUCGUUAAAAACCUUGUAGCAGAACUUCGAGAUGGAUCGAUGGCUCAUUCUAGGUGUGCAUCAAUUGUAAGAAAUUAGAGUGUUUAAAAUAAGUUUAUGCUAUGACUACAUUAGUAAGGAAUAACAUUAAUUACAUUAGCCUUUGGGAUUGGAGUAAUAAUUAAAGAGGAAAUCGGGACAUUCAUAUGUCCAAAAUGAUUUUUUUUCAAGCCGCCUCCG
Molecule: non-coding RNA, 838 nt
Filed under: Capsicum annuum
Lineage: Eukaryota; Viridiplantae; Streptophyta; Magnoliopsida; Solanales; Solanaceae
Description: Eukaryotic small subunit ribosomal RNA
Rfam family: Eukaryotic small subunit ribosomal RNA (bases 175-838)
Source: Rfam by way of RNAcentral